CUGACACAGGUGCUGCAUGGCUGUCGUCAACUCGUGUCGUGAGAUGUUGGGUUAAGUCCGUAACGAGCGCAACCCUGUCCUUAGUUACCAGCACGUUAUGGUGGGCGACUCUAAGGAGGACUGCCGGUGGACAAACCGGAGGAAGGUGGGGAUGACGUCAAGUCAUCAUGGCCCUUACGGCCUGGGCUACACACGUGCUACAAUGGUCGGUACAAAGGGUUGCCAAGCCGCGAGGUGGAGCUAAUCCCAUAAAACCGAUCGUAGUCCGGAUCGCAGUCUGCAACUCGACUGCGUGAAGUCGGAAUCGCUAGUAAUCGUGAAUCAGAAUGUCACGGUGAAUACGUUCCCGGGCCUU
This 355-nucleotide ribosomal RNA is filed under the name uncultured Pseudomonas sp. RNAcentral describes it as "bacterial SSU rRNA". It matches the Rfam family "Bacterial small subunit ribosomal RNA", at positions 1029 to 1382 of the family's 1533-position model. Lineage: Bacteria; Pseudomonadati; Pseudomonadota; Gammaproteobacteria; Pseudomonadales; Pseudomonadaceae. The record is from RNAcentral.